RNAcentral lists this ribosomal RNA (501 nucleotides) under uncultured bacterium. RNAcentral describes it as "bacterial SSU rRNA". It matches the Rfam family "Bacterial small subunit ribosomal RNA", at positions 8 to 507 of the family's 1533-position model. The record is from RNAcentral.
AGAGUUUGAUCAUGGCUCAGAUUGAACGCUGGCGGCAUGCUUUACACAUGCAAGUCGAGCGGCAGCGCGGGGGCAACCCUGGCGGCGAGCGGCGAACGGGUGAGGAAUACAUCGGAACGUGCCCGAGAGUGGGGGAUAACGCCGCGAAAGCGGCGCUAAUACCGCAUAUUCUCUGAGGAGGAAAGUGGGGGACCGCAAGGCCUCACGCUCACGGAGCGGCCGAUGUCGGAUUAGCUAGUUGGUGGGGUAAAGGCUUACCAAGGCGACGAUCCGUAGCUGGUCUGAGAGGAUGAUCAGCCACACUGGGACUGAGACACGGCCCAGACUCCUACGGGAGGCAGCAGUGGGAAUUUGGACAAUGGGGCAACCCUGAUCCAGCCAUGCCGCGUGCGGGAAGAAGGCCUUCGGGUUGUAAACCGCUUUUAACCGGGAAGAAAAGGCAUCUCUUAAUACGGGGUGUUCUUGACGGUACCGGUGGAAUAAGCACCGGCUAACUACGUG